RNAcentral lists this unclassified non-coding RNA (333 nucleotides) under uncultured fungus. RNAcentral describes it as "sequence contains ITS2". Lineage: Eukaryota; Fungi. The record is from RNAcentral.
AAUGCAUAUUGUGCUCUUUGGUAUUCCAAAGAGCAUGCUUGUUUGAGUAUCAGUAAACACCUCAACCUCCUCUUGUUUUUACAAAAGGAGGGUGGACUUGAGCUAUCCCAACAACCUUCACUGGUAGGCAGGCGGCUUGAAAUGCAGGUGCAGCUGGACUUUUAUCUGAGCUAAAAGCAUAUCUAUUUAGUCCUCAUCAAACAGGAUUAUUACUAUUGUUGCAGCUAACAUAAAGGAUAAUUGUCCUCAUUGCUGACUGAUGCAGGAUUUUAUGACACUUUAUGUGUUGUUCAACUCGAUCUCAAAUCAAGUAAGACUACCCACUGAACUUAA